This 406-nucleotide ribosomal RNA is filed under the name uncultured bacterium. RNAcentral's name for it is "partial 16S ribosomal RNA". It matches the Rfam family "Bacterial small subunit ribosomal RNA", at positions 30 to 526 of the family's 1533-position model. The record is from RNAcentral.
AUUGAACGCUGGCGGCAGGCCUAACACAUGCAAGUCGAACGAGUGGCGGACGUGUGAGUAAUGUCUGGGAAACUGCCCGAUGGGGGGGGAUCUCUUCUGAACACGGUAUCUAAUACCGCAUACCAUCGGAUGUGCCCAGAUGGGAUUAGCUAGUAGGUGGGGUAACGGCUCACCUAGGCGACGAUCCCUAGCUGGUCUGAGAGGAUGACCAGCCACACUGGGACUGAGACACGGUCCAGACUCCUACGGGAGGCAGCAGUGGGGAAUAUUGCACAAUGGGCGCAAGCCUGAUGCAGCCAUGCCGCGUGUAUGAAGAAGGCCUUAGGGUUGUAAAGUACUUUCAGCGGGGAGGCGUUACUCGCAGAAGAAGCACCGGCUAACUCCGUGCCAGCAGCCGCGGUAAUUC